ACUAUUAUCAUACCAUAGUUAUCUGUCGUUACGCCUCCUCCAGUAAGUUUCACCCAUUGGCACCGAAACAGAGAGAUUUUCAAGGGUCCAUAGUCCAGUUCCCAUAUCUCCUCAAUCACACCAUAGUAUCUAUCUUCUUUCCAUUGUUGUUUAUUGCAUCUAUACGGUAGCCCUCAAAGUAGACUUCCCAAUAAGGUAGCCCUCAAAAUAUAGACUUCUUCCACAUGGGUGCAUGUCCAUCCUCGUUGUUCGGAAGAGGUUUGCUACCAGGACCCUUGCCAAAUACUACCCUCACAUCCUUUAUCAUAGAAAAUACACGUUUACCAUUACGGUGAACGGUCUCAGUACAUUUUUCUUCUUCCCCUUCAAAAUGCUUUCCUUUCUUUCUUAACGGGUGCUUAGCAGGAAGAAAUCGACGAUGGCUCAUAUUUAUGACAUUCCUAUAGUGUUUCAAAUACAUGUUGCUAGUAUUAUCUAAACAGUGCGUGCAGGCUCGAUAUCCCUUGUUUGUCUAUCCGGACAGAUUACCAAGUGCUGGCUAAUCAUUGAUGAUUACGAACAACAAUGCUCGUAGAUUAAAAGUCUCCUUUUUGUCCUCAUCCCACACAUGUACACCUUCUUUCUUCCAUAACAGUAAAAGUUCAUCAACCAACAAUUUUAGGUAAACAUCAAUGUCGUUGCCAGGUUGUUUUGGGUCUUGGAUAAUUACUGGCAUUAUAAUGAACUUCCACUUCAUGCACAUCCAUGGCGGAAAGUUGAACAUACAUAAGGUCAUAGGCCAAGUGCUAUGACCACUACUGAACUCACCGAAUGGAUUGAAUCUAUAUGUACUUAAACCAAACCGUAUGUUCCUUCCAUCCUUUCCAAACUUGGAAAAUUCUCUAUCAACUGUUCUCCAUAGGACCCAUCAGCAGGGUGUCUAAUCAUUUCAUCUUACUUACGUUCUUCUUUGUGCCAACACAUCAACUUUGCAUGUGUCUUGUUUCUGAACAAACGCUUCAAACGUGGUACUAUAGGGAAAUACCACAUUACCUUCGUAGAAACUUUCUUCUUGCUGGCUUGCCCCUCAACAUCAUCAGGAUCAUCUUGCCUGAUCUUAUAACAUAGCACUUCGCACAUAGGAAAAGCCUUCAAUUUCUCGUAUUCCU
This 1148-nucleotide long non-coding RNA is filed under the name Setaria viridis. Its description in RNAcentral is "long non-coding RNA (SVIR_LNC004823)". Lineage: Eukaryota; Viridiplantae; Streptophyta; Magnoliopsida; Poales; Poaceae. The record is from RNAcentral.